CAUCUAAGCGUGAAGCCCACCUUAAGAUGAGAUCUCCCAAUUUAGUAAGACCCCUUAUAGACGAUGAGGUUGAUAGGCCAGGUGUGGAAGUCCAGUGAUGGAUGAAGCUGACUGGUACUAAUAGGUCGAGGACUUAACCUU
RNAcentral lists this ribosomal RNA (141 nucleotides) under Bacillota bacterium. Its description in RNAcentral is "partial 23S ribosomal RNA". It matches the Rfam family "Bacterial large subunit ribosomal RNA", at positions 2778 to 2925 of the family's 2925-position model. The record is from RNAcentral. Lineage: Bacteria; Bacillati; Bacillota.